Small nuclear RNA from Hippopotamus amphibius kiboko, 119 nucleotides. RefSeq annotates it as U5 spliceosomal RNA. The transcript has a single exon. NCBI's taxonomy places the organism in Eukaryota, Metazoa, Chordata, Mammalia, Artiodactyla, Hippopotamidae. The record is from RefSeq and is a predicted model, not a curated record.
AUCCUCUGGUUUCUCUUCAGAUCGUACAAACCUUUCUCCUUUUACUAAAGAUUUCUGUGGAAAGGGGAAAAAAAGAAAAAAAUGUAAAUAUAUCCUGUGAAUACAUCCCAACAAGUGUG